AGCAGCCGCGGUAAUUCCAGCUCCAAUAGCGUAUAUUAAAGUUGUUGCAGUUAAAAAGCUCGUAGUUGAAUUUCGGGGUUAGUAGGUCGGUCAUGCCUCUGGUAUGUACUGGUCUCACUGAUUCCUCCUUCCUGAUGAACCGUAAUGCCAUUAAUUUGGUGUUGCGGGGAAUUUGGACUGUUACCUUGAAAAAAUUAGAGUGUUUAAAGCAAGCUAACGCUUGAAUACAUUAGCAUGGAAUAAUGAAAUAGGACGUUCGAUCCUAUUUUGUUGGUUUCUAGGAUUGACGUAAUGAUUAAUAGGGAUAGUUGGGGGCAUUAGUAUUCAAUUGUCAGAGGUGAAAUUCUUGGAUUUAUUGAAGACUAACUACUGCGAAAGCAUUUGCCAAGGAUGUUUUCAUUAAUCAAGAACGAAAGUUAGGGGAUCGAAGACGAUCAGAUACCGUCGUAGUCUUAACCAUAAACUAUGCCGACUAGGGAUCGGAUGAUGUUAAUUUUUAAUGACUCAUUCGGCGCCUUAC
Molecule: small RNA, 520 nt
Filed under: uncultured Glomus
Lineage: Eukaryota; Fungi; Glomeromycota; Glomeromycetes; Glomerales; Glomeraceae
Description: SSU rRNA
Rfam family: Eukaryotic small subunit ribosomal RNA
Source: RNAcentral